GCAGCUGUGGAGUAGUAGUGAACUUGCUUCCCUCCCAAGGAAGAGACCUGGGUGCAAUUCCCGGCAGCUGCA
RNAcentral lists this transfer RNA (72 nucleotides) under Eutypa lata. RNAcentral's name for it is "tRNA-Gly". It matches the Rfam family "tRNA". From Rfam's summary of the family: Transfer RNA (tRNA) molecules are approximately 80 nucleotides in length. Their secondary structure includes four short double-helical elements and three loops (D, anti-codon, and T loops). Further hydrogen bonds mediate the characteristic L-shaped molecular structure. tRNAs have two regions of fundamental functional importance: the anti-codon, which is responsible for specific mRNA codon recognition, and the 3' end, to which the tRNAs corresponding amino acid is attached (by aminoacyl-tRNA synthetases). tRNAs cope with the degeneracy of the genetic code in two manners: having more than one tRNA (with a specific anti-codon) for a particular amino acid; and 'wobble' base-pairing, i.e. permitting non-standard base-pairing at the 3rd anti-codon position. RNAcentral also lists the same sequence under 1 other name. The record is from RNAcentral. Lineage: Eukaryota; Fungi; Ascomycota; Sordariomycetes; Xylariales; Diatrypaceae.